UUUUUAAGAUCAGUUUGUCACAAGCUAUUAAAAACAAAUGGCUGGAGAUCGGGAAACAAUUGGUCUCGAGAAAGGUGACGGAGAAGGUCGUUAAGAACAUCUCGUA
Long non-coding RNA from Asparagus officinalis (garden asparagus), 106 nucleotides. RefSeq lists it as uncharacterized. The transcript has 2 exons. The record is from RefSeq and is a predicted model, not a curated record. NCBI's taxonomy places the organism in Eukaryota, Viridiplantae, Streptophyta, Magnoliopsida, Asparagales, Asparagaceae.